RNAcentral lists this microRNA (21 nucleotides) under Citrus sinensis (sweet orange). Its description in RNAcentral is "csi-miR477a-3p". Its record names the gene csi-miR477a-3p. The record is from miRBase by way of RNAcentral. Lineage: Eukaryota; Viridiplantae; Streptophyta; Magnoliopsida; Sapindales; Rutaceae.
GGAAACCCUAGGGGGAGGUCG